CAGUCGCCACGGGAAUACGUAGGGUGCGAGCGUUAAUCGGAAUUACUGGGCGUAAAGCGUGCGCAGGCGGUUGUGUAAGACAGGUGUGAAAUCCCCGGGCUUAACCUGGGAACUGCGCUUGUGACUGCACAGCUAGAGUAUGGCAGAGGGGGGUGGAAUUCCACGUGUAGCAGUGAAAUGCCUAGAGAUGUGGAGGAACACCGAUGGCGAAGGCAGCCCCCUGGGCCAAUACUGACGCUCAUGCACGAAAGCGUGGGGAGCAAACAGGAUUAGAUACCCCCGUAGUCCCUGUCUCUUAUAC
Molecule: ribosomal RNA, 301 nt
Filed under: uncultured bacterium
Lineage: Bacteria
Description: partial 16S ribosomal RNA
Rfam family: Bacterial small subunit ribosomal RNA
Source: RNAcentral